AGGACGAACGCUGGCGGCGUGCUUAACACAUGCAAGUCGAGCGGAAAGGCCCUUCGGGGUACUCGAGCGGCGAACGGGUGAGUAACACGUGAGCAAUCUGCCCCUAGCUCUGGGAUAGCUCCGGGAAACCGGGAUUAAUACCAGAUACAACCACUUUAGACAUCUUUUGUGGUGGAAAGGAUUCCGGCUAGGGAUGAGCUCGCGGCAUAUCAGCUUGUUGGUGAGGUAACGGCUCACCAAGGCGACGACGGGUA
This 254-nucleotide ribosomal RNA is filed under the name uncultured bacterium. RNAcentral's name for it is "partial small subunit ribosomal RNA". It matches the Rfam family "Bacterial small subunit ribosomal RNA", at positions 26 to 285 of the family's 1533-position model. The record is from RNAcentral.